RNAcentral lists this transfer RNA (72 nucleotides) under Camelus ferus (Wild Bactrian camel). It matches the Rfam family "tRNA". Rfam says of the family: Transfer RNA (tRNA) molecules are approximately 80 nucleotides in length. The record is from Rfam by way of RNAcentral. Lineage: Eukaryota; Metazoa; Chordata; Mammalia; Artiodactyla; Camelidae.
GAGGAUAUAGCUCAUUGGUAGAGCACAUGCUUAGCAUGCACGAGGUCCUGGGUUCAAUCUCCAAUAUCUCCG